Non-coding RNA from Pelobates cultripes (western spadefoot toad), 257 nucleotides. Lineage: Eukaryota; Metazoa; Chordata; Amphibia; Anura; Pelobatidae. The record is from the annotation of a GenBank genome assembly.
AAAGAGCUCAUUCUGCGAGCCAGCAGAAACAGAAGCAAACCACCGGAGGACGUUCCCACUAUCAAACUAUUCGCAGACAUCUCUGCCUCUACCUUGAAAUGAAGGAAAGAUUUCUCUAAAGUCGCCAAUAUGCUGCUUGUUGAUGGCCUUAGAUUCCGUUGGGGAUUUCCAAUCAAAAUGCUGGUAACAAAAGUAACCUCGCCCGAGGAGGGCCUUCGCAGACUACAGUCCUGGGAGUUUGCGGAACACAGAUCUAC